GAUGAAGAACGUAGCGAAAUGCGAUAAGUAAUGUGAAUUGCAGAAUUCAGUGAAUCAUCGAAUCUUUGAACGCACAUUGCGCCCUCUGGUAUUCCAUAGGGCACACCCGUUCGAGCGUCAUUACAACACUCAGGCUCUGCCUGGUCUUGGGCGCCGCCCCGCCGCGGGCGCGCCUCAAACUCCUCGGCGUCGCCGUCCGUCUCGAGCGCAGCGAGAAUCCUUCCAGCGUCAUCGAGGCGGGCCGUGGCCGCCGGAAGCCAACACCACAUCAAAGGUUGACCUCGGAUCGGGUGGGGAUACCCGCUGAACUUAAGCAUAUCAAUAAGCGGAGGA
Molecule: unclassified non-coding RNA, 333 nt
Filed under: soil metagenome
Description: partial contains 5.8S ribosomal RNA, internal transcribed spacer 2, and large subunit ribosomal RNA
Rfam family: 5.8S ribosomal RNA (bases 1-120)
Source: RNAcentral